Molecule: ribosomal RNA, 460 nt
Filed under: uncultured bacterium
Lineage: Bacteria
Description: partial 16S ribosomal RNA
Rfam family: Bacterial small subunit ribosomal RNA
Source: RNAcentral
CCUACGGGAGGCAGCAGUGAGGAAUAUUGGUCAAUGGACGAGAGUCUGAACCAGCCAAGUAGCGUGAAGGAUGACUGCCCUAUGGGUUGUAAACUUCUUUUAUCUGGGAAUAAAACGUUCCACGUGUGGGAUUUUGUAUGUACCAUAUGAAUAAGGAUCGGCUAACUCCGUGCCAGCAGCCGCGGUAAUACGGAGGAUCCGAGCGUUAUCCGGAUUUAUUGGGUUUAAAGGGAGCGUAGGUGGAUUGUUAAGUCAGUUGUGAAAGUUUGCGGCACAACCGUAAAAUUGCAGUUGAAACUGGCAGUCUUGAGUACAGUAGAGGUGGGCGGAAUUCGUGGUGUAGCGGUGAAAUGCUUAGAUAUCACGAAGAACUCCGAUUGCGAAGGCAGUUCACUGGACUGCAACUGACACUGAGGCUCGAAAGUGUGGGUAUCAAACAGGAUUAGAUACCCCAGUAGUC